AGUGAACGCUGGCGGUGGGCCUAACACAUGUAAGUCGAACGGCAGCACAGUACGAGCUUGCUGUUACGGGUGGCGAGUGGCGGGCGGGUGAGGUCUAUAUCCGAAUCUUCUUUUUCGUGGGGAUUACGGUGGGGAACCUUCCUUUAUUCCGCCAACCACCGAUCGGUGGAGACAGGGGGACUUUUGGGCCUUGCGCGCUUGAGUUCGCGGCUUGGUAGUUGGUUAGUUGGCGGUGUAAAGGCCCACCACUGCAAUAAUCCGUAGCUGGUCUGAGAGGAUGUUCAGCCACACUGGAACUGAGACACGGUCCAUACUCCUACGGGAGGCAGCAGACGGGAAUAUUGGACAAUGGGCGCAAGCCUGAUCCAGCCAUACCGCGUGGGUGGAGAAGGCCUUCGGGUUGUAAAGCCCUUGUGUUGGGAAAGAAAAGCAGCAGGCUAAUACCCCGCUGUUCUGACGGUACCCAAAGAAUAAGCACCGGCUAACUACGUG
This 492-nucleotide ribosomal RNA is filed under the name uncultured bacterium. RNAcentral describes it as "partial 16S ribosomal RNA". It matches the Rfam family "Bacterial small subunit ribosomal RNA", at positions 29 to 507 of the family's 1533-position model. The record is from RNAcentral.